AGUCGAGCGGAAGGCCCUUCGGGGUACUCGAGCGGCGAACGGGUGAGUAACACGUGAGUAAUCUGCCCCAGGCUCUGGGAUAGCCACCGGAAACGGUGAUUAAUACCGGAUACGACAACCGAUUGCAUGAUCUGGUUGUGGAAAGUUUUUCGGCCUGGGAUGUGCUCGCGGCCUAUCAGCUUGUUGGUGAGGUAAUGGCUCACCAAGGCUUCGACGGGUAGCCGGCCUGAGAGGGUGACCGGCCACACUGGGACUGAGACACGGCCCAGACUCCUACGGGAGGCAGCAGUGGGGAAUAUUGGACAAUGGGCGGAAGCCUGAUCCAGCAACGCCGCGUGAGGGAUGACGGCCUUCGGGUUGUAAACCUCUUUCAGCACAGACGAAGCGCAAGUGACGGUAUGUGCAGAAGAAGGACCGGCCAACUACGUGCCAGCAGCCGCGGUAAUACGUAGGGUCCGAGCGUUGUCCGGAAUUAUUGGGCGUAAAGGGCUCGUAGGCGGUCUGUCGCGUCGGGAGUGAAAACCAGGUGCUUAACACCUGGCCUGCUUUCGAUACGGGCAGACUAGAGGUACUCAGGGGAGAAUGGAAUUCCUGGUGUAGCGGUGAAAUGCGCAGAUAUCAGGAGGAACACCGGUGGCGAAGGCGGUUCUCUGGGAGUAUCCUGACGCUGAGGAGCGAAAGUGUGGGGAGCGAACAGGAUUAGA
RNAcentral lists this ribosomal RNA (704 nucleotides) under Nocardioides sp. Its description in RNAcentral is "bacterial SSU rRNA". It matches the Rfam family "Bacterial small subunit ribosomal RNA", at positions 60 to 782 of the family's 1533-position model. The record is from RNAcentral. Lineage: Bacteria; Bacillati; Actinomycetota; Actinomycetes; Propionibacteriales; Nocardioidaceae.